CAUUUUUCAAAGUUAUAUAUAAAUAGUUUGUUAGUAUAACAUUUGUGCAUCAUAUCCUAGAAGAGGGAAAUAUAGAUAGAUUUUAUCAAGCUCAGGACGGAGAAAUGGGCUCUGAAAACGGCGGCGUUCCACCUCUCCAUGUUUUCAUGGUCUCCUUCCCCGGGCAAGGCCACGUCAACCCUCUCCUCCGCCUCGGCAAGCGUCUCGCCGGAAAGGGCCUACUCGUCACCUUCUCGGCACCGGAAAGCACGGGCGUGGAGAUGAGAAAAGCCAACGCGAAAAUCAGCGAAGAACCCACUCCCUACGGCGACGGGUUCAUCAGGUUCGAGUUCUUCGACGACGAGUUCGACCCGCAUGGCCCGCACGCCAACGACAUGGACUUCCAGCUCGACCAAAUGGAGCGAGUCGGGGCCGUGAAGCUGUCGGGGAUCCUCGACAAACACGAAAAACAGGGGCGCCCUGUUUCUUGUCUCAUCAACAAUCCGUUUAUUCCCUGGGUCUCCGACGUCGCCGAGAAACAUGGAAUUCCCAGUGCGGUACUUUGGGUGCAGUCUUGUGCGAGCUUUUCUGCUUAUUAUCAUUACCAUAAUAAGUUGGUUCCUUUUCCGACUGAAACAGAGCCUUUUCUCGACGUUCAGUUGCCGUGCAUGCCGGUUUUGAAAUACGACGAGUUCCCGAGCUACUUAUACCCUUCUUCGCCGUAUAAAUUCCUGGCCCGGGCCAUUCUUAACCAGUUCGAGAACUUGUCCAAACCGUUUUGCGUAUUGAUGGAGACAUUUCAAGAACUGGAACCCGAAGUUCUUGAAUAUAUGUCCAAACUCUGCCCAAUCAAGCCCGUUGGUCCUCUUUUUUUAACCCCCAAGUCCGCCGCCGUAACCUCCGAUGUUCGCGGAGACUUUGUGAAAGUCGAUGAUUGUAUCGAGUGGCUCGACUCCAAGCCGGAAUCUUCUGUGGUUUACAUUUCCUUCGGGAGCGUUGUAGCCUUGAAGCAAGAGCAGGUGGAUGAGAUCGCCUACGGGCUGAUAAACUCCGGGCUGUGUUUCUUAUGGGUGAGGAAACGGUCACCGCUGGAGUCCGUGCCGACGGUUUUGCCGGACGGGUUCCUGGAAAGAGUUGGGGAUAACGGGAAAGUGGUGCAAUGGUGCUCGCAAGAACAGGUUUUGGCGCAUCCAUCCCUGGCCUGCUUCGUGACUCACUGUGGAUGGAAUUCGUCGAUGGAAGCCAUCUCCAGCGGCGUCCCCGUCGUGGCUUUCCCGCAGUGGGGGGAUCAGGUCACCGACGCUAAAUACCUCGUCGACGUUUUCAAGAUCGGCGUUCGGCUAUGCAGAGGCGAAGCUGAGAACAGGUUGAUCACCAGGGACGAGGUGGAGAAGUGCUUGAUCGAGGCAACCCGCGGCGAAAAGGCGGCGGAGAUGAAAGAAAAUGCGUUGAAGUGGAAGAAGAAGGCAGAGGGGGCGGUGGCGGAGGGCGGCUCUUCUGACCGGAAUUUGGAAGAAUUUGUCGACGAAAUCAGAAACAUAUGCGGUGGCGGAAAACACUAAGACCGGCGCCAUCUUUCUGUCCUCGUGCCUUGAUAUUUUCAUUGCUUAAUAUAUUAUUAUUUCUUUUAAAAAAAAAAAUC
Ipomoea nil (Japanese morning glory) is the source of this 1621-nucleotide RNA transcript. It is a transcript of the gene named limonoid UDP-glucosyltransferase-like, with no coding region annotated. NCBI's taxonomy places the organism in Eukaryota, Viridiplantae, Streptophyta, Magnoliopsida, Solanales, Convolvulaceae. The transcript has 3 exons. The record is from RefSeq and is a predicted model, not a curated record.